GGCUACCUGGCGCAAUGGUAGCGCGUUUGGCUUCGAUUGCUGAAUUUUACCAAAAGGUUGCAGGUUCGAGUCCUGCGGUGGUCA
This 84-nucleotide transfer RNA is filed under the name Rhodocollybia butyracea. It matches the Rfam family "tRNA". From Rfam's summary of the family: Transfer RNA (tRNA) molecules are approximately 80 nucleotides in length. Their secondary structure includes four short double-helical elements and three loops (D, anti-codon, and T loops). Further hydrogen bonds mediate the characteristic L-shaped molecular structure. tRNAs have two regions of fundamental functional importance: the anti-codon, which is responsible for specific mRNA codon recognition, and the 3' end, to which the tRNAs corresponding amino acid is attached (by aminoacyl-tRNA synthetases). tRNAs cope with the degeneracy of the genetic code in two manners: having more than one tRNA (with a specific anti-codon) for a particular amino acid; and 'wobble' base-pairing, i.e. permitting non-standard base-pairing at the 3rd anti-codon position. Lineage: Eukaryota; Fungi; Basidiomycota; Agaricomycetes; Agaricales; Omphalotaceae. The record is from Rfam by way of RNAcentral.